Molecule: long non-coding RNA, 549 nt
Organism: Uranotaenia lowii
Lineage: Eukaryota; Metazoa; Arthropoda; Insecta; Diptera; Culicidae
Exons: 3
Source: RefSeq, a predicted model, not a curated record
AAAAAAAAUGGCCAAAUACGCGCGCGGUUACCAGUAAUCUACAACAAAUUUCCGGCAUCAUCUAGAGGAAAUCAUCAUUGGACGUCAGCCCUCCUUUUCAUCAUCAGCAGCAGCUCCAAGUUUAAAAUUAAUAGGACCAGGUGGACUUCCAGCAAGCACCGCUAGCGGAAUGACCAUCGAGCGAAGCACCGGAAAAGAUCUCAGCAGCAGUAGGGACAAAGGCGGGAUGUGUUUCCAGUGUCGACCCAGAAAGUGGCUGCAUCAUCAUGAUAGUGUUCGAAGUUCCCGGCGGAAAGAAGGAAAUUGCUCGGUAGACGUGUUACAAAGACAGCAACCGGCGAGACUCAACUUUCGUGUAGAUAAAGUGCGUGCCAACGGGAUGCUAACGGGAUCAUCCGUAUUUUUACGGCAACAUCCAAAGAGAAACUUCCAGCAGCAACCGGAAAAUUCAAAAUGUCAAUGGCUCCGGACUUCGACUGGAUACAUGGCUGAAAGCGAGCAAUUUUUUUGUGAAAUUUAUCUAUUUUAAUAAAUAAUAAAAUGUAUUUG